UACGGAGGGUGCAAGCGUUAUCCGGAUUCACUGGGUUUAAAGGGUGCGUAGGUGGGUCUGUAAGUCAGUGGUGAAAUCCCCGAGCUUAACUUGGGAGCUGCCGUUGAUACUAUAGAUCUUGAAUAUCGUGGAGGUAAGCGGAAUAUGUCAUGUAGCGGUGAAAUGCUUAGAUAUGACAUAGAACACCAAUUGCGAAGGCAGCUUACUACACGAUCAUUGACACUGAGGCACGAAAGCGUGGGGAGCAAACAGG
RNAcentral lists this ribosomal RNA (253 nucleotides) under uncultured bacterium. Its description in RNAcentral is "partial 16S ribosomal RNA". It matches the Rfam family "Bacterial small subunit ribosomal RNA", at positions 524 to 776 of the family's 1533-position model. The record is from RNAcentral.